GGUACAUAGCCACAACACCCGCCCCAGAUGAAAUAUUUUUCAACCAAAAACUACACUAUUGUCAAUACCGAACACCUUCCCCUAACGAAUUCGUUAAAAUUGUCAAAAAGUUGGCACAUAAUAACAAUAGCAUGACCUACAUGGAGUUCCACUGUCCCUUCCUGACUCCUAUAUAUGACCACGUGAUAUUUUUCUGUAAGACUCAAAUUAAAUUAGCCUUCUCAUGCUUUGUGUAAUUUCAAUUCAAAAGAUUAGUCCGGUCCAGCCCCUCAAGAGAAACCGUGGAACAAAGAAAAGCUGAGGUCUUUACAUAUAUGGAGAAGGUAAGCCGGAUUUGGAAAUGGGGAUCUCUUGUUGGCUGCUUAGGAGUGAUUUUCCUGUUUGUGUUCUUGCUUGCUGAUUCUUCGGAGAAGACACCAUUGAGGAGACUUCUAUCAUCAAAACGCAAUGUCCGAGAACCAAAUCUUGAUGUAAAACUGAUUACCCAUGAUCGUGAGCAGGUGGUGGUGAAUAAUGGCAUCGUGCGAGUCAUUUUGUCGAGGCCUGACGGUCAUGUCUUGGGAAUACAGUACAAUGGAAUAGAUAAUUUACUUGACAGAGAAAAUGAAGAAUAUGAUAGAGGGUAUUUGGAUGUUGUAUGGAACGAACCAGGAAAAGCUGGUGUCUUUGAGAGAAUAAGAGGAACAAUAUUUAGAGUUAUAACUGCGAACAAAGACCAAGUAGAACUUUCAUUUACAUCCACAUGGAAAAGUUCGCUCCGUGAAAAAGUUCCUUUCAUUAUAGACAAAAGGUACAUAUUCCGGCGUAACGUUUCGGGAUAUUAUUUCUACGCAAUAUUUGAGCGCCUUGAAGGAUGGCCUAAGGUUGAAGUGGAUCAAAUUAGGAUUGUUUACAAGCUCCAUCAAGACAAAUUUCGGUUCAUGGCGAUAUCCGACGGUAUGCAAAGGAUCAUGCCAUCGGCGGAAGACCGCGCCAAGGGUGAGCCCCUCGCUUACCCUGAAGCUGUUCUUUUGACCAAUACAAGCAAUCCUAAAUUAAGAGGAGAGGUGGAUGACAAGUACCAGUACUCGGUGGAGAACAAAGACAAUAAGGUUCAGGGGUGGAUAUGCGAAGAUGACCCAGCCGUGGGAUUCUGGAUGAUCACACCCAGCAAUGAGUUUCGUACAUCGGGUCCCAACAAGCAAGACCUCACUUCCCAUGUGGGCCCCACUAACCUCAAUAUGUUCGUUAGUACUCACUAUGCUGGGAAGGAAGUAGGGAUGAAAUUUGCAGAGGGUGAGCCAUGGAAAAAGGUUUUUGGUCCUUCAUUUAUAUAUCUUAACAAGGUUUCCAAAGGAGAAGAUCCCCUUGAGCUUUGGUCAGAUGCUAAAUUGAAGAUGCUAAAUGAAGUCAAUAGCUGGCCAUACAAUUUCAUCCAAUCGAAAGAUUAUCCUACUUCUCAUCAACGUGGAAGUGUUGCAGGUCAAUUGCUAGUUCGUGACAGGUACAUUAACGAGAGACUAAUGUGGGCACAAUUAGCUUAUAUUAAUUGGUUUGGCCGCUCCUGGAGAGAAGGGAUCUUGGCAAAGAGAAAGCAAGGGUUAUCAAUUUUGGACCCAAGCCGACAAGGAGGGCUAUUUCGAAAUUAAAAAUGUCCAUCCUGGGAACUAUAAUUUAUAUGCAUGGGUCCCUGGCUUCAUAGGGGAUUACAAAGCUGCUACCACGAUUUCUAUUAUGGCAGGUGGGAAAGUACAAUUGGGAACCGUUAGAUAUGGGCCUCCAAGACAAGGUCCUACCCUGUGGGAAAUUGGCAUCCCUGACCGCACCGCGGCUGAGUUCUAUGUACCAAACCCAUAUGCAACACUCCUGAACACUGUGUACACCACCACAACAUCUAACAAUUUCAGGCAAUAUGGCUUGUGGGAAAGGUAUUCAGAUAUGUACCGUAAUCAGGAUUUUAUCUACACUGUAAAUGUCAGUGAUUAUAGUAAAGAUUGGUUCUUCGCUCAUGUUAACAGGCGUACAAAUAAUCGGACAUACGAAGCAACUACGUGGCAGAUUCAUUUUGAACUUGAAACUGUGUACAACAAUGGAAACUACACACUCCGGUUGGCCUUGGCUUCAGCCACUAAUUAACGCUGAAUUGCAGGUUUGGUUCAACGAUGCCACAGCCUAUCCUCCUCACUUUUCAACAGGGGUUAUAGGCGGGGACAACGCCAUCGCGAGGCAUGGAAUUCAUGGGCUAUAUUGGUUGUACAACAUUGAUGUAGCAAGCAAUCUACUCCAAGAAGGAAAGAACAUAAUAUUUCUCAGACAGUCAAGGAGCACGAGUCAAUUUCAAGGAGUCAUGUAUGACUACCUUCGUCAAGAAAGGCUUCCUGAAAAUUGAUCGUGUAGAAGAUGUCACAUAUUGAUUUCUCUCUAGGAAAAAUACCUUGAUGCAUAUACAAGUACCAUGUAGAAAAGUAGCCAUGAGUAGUAUAGUAUAUAAAGCCUUUAGGCAGAGAAUCAACCACGACAAUUUAGUUCAAAAGGGAAAUGAAAUUUUGUUGUUAUUACCAAACCCACCUCAUUCAGAUAUGUUCCUUCUUGUAUGUCAUUGAAACCCCAACUCCCUUACAAAUCUCUAGGAG
This is an RNA transcript of Quercus lobata, 2612 nucleotides long. It is a transcript of the gene named probable rhamnogalacturonate lyase B, with no coding region annotated. NCBI's taxonomy places the organism in Eukaryota, Viridiplantae, Streptophyta, Magnoliopsida, Fagales, Fagaceae. The record is from RefSeq and is a predicted model, not a curated record. The transcript has 17 exons.